Molecule: long non-coding RNA, 210 nt
Filed under: Lathyrus oleraceus (garden pea)
Lineage: Eukaryota; Viridiplantae; Streptophyta; Magnoliopsida; Fabales; Fabaceae
Description: Pisum sativum (pea) long non-coding RNA (PSAT_LNC024692)
Source: RNAcentral
UGAUUUUUUCAUUUAAUCCAUUUAUUUUGUUUAAUUCAUAUAAAUUUCACUUUUAAUCCAAAAAAUAUGGGACUUUCACCAAAAAUCUUUAAAUAUUUUCGUCUUUAAUAUUUUGAAUUAAAAUCAUUUUUUGGAUUAAUUUUGAUAUUUUUCACGAAUUAAAUGAUUUUUGACUUGUCUUAAAUAGUUUUAAAAUACUUUUGACUUUCC